UACGAAGGGGGCUAGCGUUGCUCGGAAUUACUGGGCGUAAAGGGCGCGUAGGCGGAUAUCUAAGUUGGGGGUGAAAUCCCGGGGCUCAACCUCGGAACCGCCUUCAAUACUGGAUAUCUUGAGUUCGGGAGAGGUGAGUGGAAUGCCGAGUGUAGAGGUGAAAUUCGUAGAUAUUCGGCGGAACACCAGUGGCGAAGGCGACUCACUGGCCCGAUACUGACGCUGAGGCGCGAAAGCGUGGGGAGCAAACAGG
This 253-nucleotide ribosomal RNA is filed under the name uncultured bacterium. Its description in RNAcentral is "partial 16S ribosomal RNA". It matches the Rfam family "Bacterial small subunit ribosomal RNA", at positions 524 to 776 of the family's 1533-position model. The record is from RNAcentral.